Long non-coding RNA from Polypterus senegalus (gray bichir), 172 nucleotides. RefSeq lists it as uncharacterized. Lineage: Eukaryota; Metazoa; Chordata; Cladistia; Polypteriformes; Polypteridae. The record is from RefSeq and is a predicted model, not a curated record. The transcript has 2 exons.
GCCCUGGGACUUCUGGCCACGGUCACUCUGUGUCAUGGUGAUUGUUUCCUUUAUCCCAACCCACCUCGUCCAGUCAAUGGUAAAGUCCCCUCAGGUUGCAUGGAUAUUCAAGGUGUGUUACACCCCACUGGUUCUAAAUGGAUAAAUGAAUAUUGCUACAGAUGUGUUUGUA